Molecule: unclassified non-coding RNA, 257 nt
Filed under: uncultured fungus
Lineage: Eukaryota; Fungi
Description: partial contains 5.8S rRNA and ITS2
Rfam family: 5.8S ribosomal RNA (bases 1-52)
Source: RNAcentral
AACGCACAUUGCGCCCCCUGGUAUUCCGGGGGGCAUGCCUGUCCGAGCGUCAUUUCUGCCCUCAAGCACUGCUUGUGUGUUGGGCCCCGUCCUCCGAUCCCGGGGGACGGGCCCGAAAGGCAGCGGCGGCACCGCGUCCGGUCCUCGUGCGUAUGCGGCGUUGUCACCCGCUCUGUAGUCACGGCCGGCGCUUGCCGAUCAACCCAAAUGUUUAUCCAGGUUUACCUCGGAUCAGGUAGGGAUACCCGCUGAACUUA